Gopherus flavomarginatus (Mexican gopher tortoise) is the source of this 2632-nucleotide long non-coding RNA. RefSeq lists it as uncharacterized. The transcript is spliced from 2 exons. The record is from RefSeq and is a predicted model, not a curated record. Lineage: Eukaryota; Metazoa; Chordata; Testudines; Testudinidae.
AAUUAAUUCAGAUAAAACAAACCAACUUGAUCUGCUUUGAUUAUAUGAUUUUUGCCCUUUUCGUUAUCUACAAUAUAUCACAUUUGUUUUCAAAGGCAAUCCACCAACAGAAUGUAAAAGUUGUGUCAGAAGCUUGGAUGCACUUCCACAGAGUUCAAAUGAAGCUGAGCAUGUGGACCCAAGGACAGAAUUUGGCCCACAGUUCAUAAGAUAAUAUUAAAAAUCAAAUUUAGUCCUGGUAUAAGUGAGUAUAACACCCAUUAAAUUCAAUGAGAGUUGCAACCAUUUACAGCAAACUAAAUUUGUCAUAGGGCCUGAUUCUCCUUUCACUUAAUCCAGUUUAAAACCUGUGAAACCCUGUUUAGUUCUGGAAUUACUCUUGAUUUACACUAGUGUGAGAGGAGAAUCAGUCACUAUAUCUUUUUUAUGUCAGACCACUGCAGUCCCCCCACAAUGAAGUGUGUGAAGGCUGGCAUGGCAUUCAGUUCAAAGGAUUUCAGUGAUAACUGAAUUAUCUGGGUUUUUCCUUAUUACAUGGGAAUAAUAAUACAGGUGCGGUAUUGUUAUACAGCCCUUUGAACAUAUAAAGGGCUAUAACCAUGAGAAGUAAUAUUAUGAAUAAGAUUGGAAACAUAUUUUUGACACUUGAGGGCUAGAUUCAGUAAAACUCUGUUCAGCUCUGGGUGGCCUGGGAACUCAAUUUUCAGCACUGCUGUGCCACAAAACCCAUAUAUUUGUAUCAAGUCUAACUCCCGUAAAACAGCUGAGAGAGAUUUUAAAAGCAGCCCUGGGUACUGUAGCACUGAAAAGAGGCAGCAUGAUUUUCAUCAGUUUUAAGGAAGAUGAAAAAUGUUCUCAUGCCACUUCCAUAAGCAGAAGUAUUAGACUGUGAUUUCCUGAUUUCCAUCCUAAUAGACACAACUGCCUAGUGUUGUGACUGCGGUGCCUCUGAUUAACCAGAAUUGGUCCCCCAGCUGCAUCCCUGCUGAGGCCUUUGUGAUCAUCAGCGCAGAGAUCUGUUAACGGUUUCCUUCCACUUCAUCUCAAGGACUGUGCAGCCUGCCACUACAUCCAGCUGAGCCAUUUUGUGUCUGCAUGCUUCCAUCAGCUGGAGCCAUCAACAUGGAUCCCAACCUGCUGGAAGAACUUUUUCACCUUUCACUGUCAGUCCUAUUUUGGGAAUAAGGCAGAACAUCUGCGAGAUGCUGGUGGGCAUUUUGGGAGCAGUUUUUGAACUGCCAAAGGCAUCUUGGAGGAUACUGACAUGUCAGCUAUAACCUAGCUGAUGUUGUUCAUGCCUGUUGCUUUAGCUGCAGUUUCCCCCUAUACAGGCUGUGCUUCUGGAGCAGGGCCACAAGCACAGACUAGUGGGAUCACAUUGUCAUGCGGACUUGGGAUGGCUAAUAGUGGGUCCAGAACUUUUACAUGAAGAAGGAGGCAUUCCUGAAGGUUUGUGAUUAGCUUGCCCCCAACACCACCAUAAGGGAGGCCUUGCCAGUCCAGAAGUGAGUCACUAUAGCCAUCUAUAACCUGGCUACCUCAGACUGCUACAGAUCCAUGACUAACCAGUUUGGAGUUGGCAAAUCAACUCUUGAGACUGUUAAAGCAGAAAUUUGUGAGGCAGUCAGGAUUGUGAUGUAGCUAAAGAUGGUGGGUACAUUUACCCAAAUGUUCCUGAAAUAAUUACUAUCUUUGAGAGAAUGGACUUUCCAAGCAGUGCAGGGGCCAUUGAUGGGACUCAUGUGCUUAUAGUUUGCCCUCUGCAAAGACCAUGUGAGUACAUAAACCACAAAAACUGCAAAGGGUCCUACUCCAUUGUUAUGUAGGCCAUGGUUGACCACAGGGGCAGAUUCAUGGAAGCUAAUGUGGCACGCACGGGGACUCUAUCUUCAUAGACAAGCUGGAACAUUAUUCCUACUGAAUGACAUUGUUAUAAAUGAAGUCACGGUUCUCACUAUUCUUCUAAGGGGCUCCGCUUAACCCCCGUUUCCCUGAUUUCAGAGGAUCUGGUAAAAGGAGAUUUGACUACACACUCAAUAACUGUAGGAUAGUGGUGGAAUGUGCAUUUGACAGAUUGAAGUCCCAUUGGUACUGUCUUCAAAACUGUUUGGAUAUAUAGUCGGACCUUUCUGUUGGGAGACUAUUUUUUUUAAAGUAACUCAUCAAUGCAGUCUGCAUUACUGUGGCCUGAUUUGUUCUGCACAAUGUCUGCUGGAUUUCUGAAUUGUUACACACUGCCAGAAAGUGCACCUGACAUGACUGGUACUGGAGCCACAUGCUCAAUGGAAAUCACAUAUGUCCCCACAUAAUGAGUUUGCACGGUCCUAUGCAUGAGGGGGAAUGAAAUAGUAUUUGAGAUUGUGUUGUGUAUGGAUGUGGGGUAGUUGUGGGAUUUAGAAAAAUGUAUUGGUAUUAUGAAUUAUGAAUUUUGUAAACAUAUUCAUGGAAUGUAUGGAGAUGUGUUACACACUUUGUCAAUACUGGCCAUGUACUUCAGCUCACAGUUUACAGAUUAUUGUGAGGAGAGUUUGUAAGUUUUAUUAGGAAAUUUUUGAGAAUAGGCAUGUGAUGACAUUCGUUACAGCUUGUGCCACUUUUAACAUUACAUAUAAUAAAACUUGCUAUGAAUCUA